Molecule: ribosomal RNA, 482 nt
Filed under: uncultured bacterium
Lineage: Bacteria
Description: bacterial SSU rRNA
Rfam family: Bacterial small subunit ribosomal RNA
Source: RNAcentral
AUUGAACGCUGGCGGCAUGCCUUACACAUGCAAGUCGAACGGUAACAGGUCUUCGGAUGCUGACGAGUGGCGAACGGGUGAGUAAUACAUCGGAACGUGCCCGAUCGUGGGGGAUAACGCAGCGAAAGCUGUGCUAAUACCGCAUACGAUCUACGGAUGAAAGCGGGGGAUCGCAAGACCUCGCGCGGACGGAGCGGCCGAUGGCAGAUUAGGUAGUUGGUGGGAUAAAAGCUUACCAAGCCGACGAUCUGUAGCUGGUCUGAGAGGACGACCAGCCACACUGGGACUGAGACACGGCCCAGACUCCUACGGGAGGCAGCAGUGGGGAAUUUUGGACAAUGGGCGCAAGCCUGAUCCAGCCAUGCCGCGUGCAGGAUGAAGGCCUUCGGGUUGUAAACUGCUUUGUACGGACGAAAAGCUCUCUCUAAUACAGGGGUGAAUGACGGUACCGUAAGAAUAAGCACCGGCUACUACGUGCCAGC